Molecule: microRNA precursor, 71 nt
Filed under: Jaculus jaculus (lesser Egyptian jerboa)
Lineage: Eukaryota; Metazoa; Chordata; Mammalia; Rodentia; Dipodidae
Description: miRNA (ENSJJAG00000003076.1)
Source: RNAcentral
GCUAUUUCUCCAGCCCAUAGUAAAUAUUUUUAAAAAGUAGUUAACAUGGGCUGGAGAGAUGGCUUAGCAGU